RNAcentral lists this ribosomal RNA (664 nucleotides) under Braconinae sp. RNAcentral's name for it is "partial 28S ribosomal RNA". It matches the Rfam family "Eukaryotic large subunit ribosomal RNA", at positions 402 to 812 of the family's 3401-position model. The record is from RNAcentral. Lineage: Eukaryota; Metazoa; Arthropoda; Insecta; Hymenoptera; Braconidae.
AAACCGUUCAGGGGUAAACCUGAGAAACCCAAAAGAUCGAAUGGGGAGAUUCAUCGUCAGCUUAUUUUGUAUAUAUGCAAGUUGUGAUAUGGGUUNACUACUUGUAGUAUUGCCUGUACNNUCUNGUAUAUUUAUUUGCAANGAUAUUGUCGGCGUGCACUUCUCCCCUAGUAGGACNGUCGCGACCCGUUGAGUGUUGGUUCUUACGGCCCAAGUGGGAGCUUUUGAUAAAUUUUAUUUAUUGAAAACCCUUGGUGUUUCCUGACUGGCAUUCGGCGGUAUUCGUAUGGUAUUGAGCCGCAUAUUAUAUGCGUCCCUGUCCAUCGCAAGCGAGGUUAGUUACUGAUAGUGCGGACCUAGUGCCGUCGUUGGUCCUAACCAGCUGUUGGUUGUAUGGAAUUCUAGGACAGGCUCGUUGAAAUACCGGUCAGCGAUGCUACUGCUUUGGGUACUUUCAGGACCCGUCUUGAAACACGGACCAAGGAGUCUAACAUGUACGCGAGUCAUUGGGAUUUUUAUAAAUUAAACCUAAAGGCGUAAUGAAAGUAAAGGUCGUCCUUGUGUCGGCUGAGGGAGGAUGGGCUGUGUUUUCGAGAUAGCUCCGCACUCCCGGGGCGUCUCAUUCUCAUUGCGAGAAGAGGCGCACCUAGAGCGUACACGUUGG